This 282-nucleotide ribosomal RNA is filed under the name Shigella sonnei. Its description in RNAcentral is "partial 16S ribosomal RNA". It matches the Rfam family "Bacterial small subunit ribosomal RNA", at positions 1 to 279 of the family's 1533-position model. The record is from RNAcentral. Lineage: Bacteria; Pseudomonadati; Pseudomonadota; Gammaproteobacteria; Enterobacterales; Enterobacteriaceae.
AAAUUGAAGAGUUUGAUCAUGGCUCAGAUUGAACGCUGGCGGCAGGCCUAACACAUGCAAGUCGAACGGUAACAGGAAACAGCUUGCUGUUUCGCUGACGAGUGGCGGACGGGUGAGUAAUGUCUGGGAAACUGCCUGAUGGAGGGGGAUAACUACUGGAAACGGUAGCUAAUACCGCAUAAUGUCGCAAGACUAAAGAGGGGGACCUUCGGGCCUCUUGCCAUCGGAUGUGCCCAGAUGGGAUUAGCUAGUAGGUGGGGUAACGGCUCACCUAGGCGACGA